GCACCGGUGGUUCAUUGGUAGAAUUCUCACCUUCCAUGUGGGAGAUCCGAGUUUGAUUCCUGGCCAAUGCA
RNAcentral lists this transfer RNA (71 nucleotides) under Loxodonta africana (African savanna elephant). It matches the Rfam family "tRNA". Rfam says of the family: Transfer RNA (tRNA) molecules are approximately 80 nucleotides in length. Their secondary structure includes four short double-helical elements and three loops (D, anti-codon, and T loops). Further hydrogen bonds mediate the characteristic L-shaped molecular structure. tRNAs have two regions of fundamental functional importance: the anti-codon, which is responsible for specific mRNA codon recognition, and the 3' end, to which the tRNAs corresponding amino acid is attached (by aminoacyl-tRNA synthetases). tRNAs cope with the degeneracy of the genetic code in two manners: having more than one tRNA (with a specific anti-codon) for a particular amino acid; and 'wobble' base-pairing, i.e. permitting non-standard base-pairing at the 3rd anti-codon position. Lineage: Eukaryota; Metazoa; Chordata; Mammalia; Proboscidea; Elephantidae. The record is from Rfam by way of RNAcentral.